GGAAGGACAACAAUUCUGAUACAGAUACAAAUCUCUGUUAUUGCAAUCGUGUCUGCAAGUUCCUUGGAGGAGUACUAAAUUUGGAAUGUCGAGUCCCCUUUUGACACACAGGUUUGUAGCGAGGACAACUAUUUGAGGUGGUACUUGUGACUGAUGUUAUUGACAAAACGUGAAAGGAUCAUCUAGCAAAAAGAAGUGAAAGGAUUGGGGACUUGCCAGACUUCAUUGCUGGAGGGAGGGGAGCGGAGAUUAUUAUGAGGCACAAGUUAACAGUUGACAUGAGACCGUGACCUCAAGACAUUCACAUCUGGAAGGAGAAAGUGCCAGUGAGUGGGAUUUCCAUAUGAGUUACCACCAAUAAAGUAGAGUUCAGAUCAGAGACAGAUACAGACCAUAGCAAGUUGAUGUGCACACAGGCUCAAUUGAGAUCAGGUCUAAUAAACAAACCAUACCUCGAACACUACCAGUCAUGAGAGGUUGAUAUGAUAGUUUGAUAUGCUGGCAUUCAUCUAUCAUUUAUGCAGCCUAGAUAUCUCCUCGUACCACAAGUCGCAGCACUCACCAUUUCCAAGCGCAUACACAAAUAUAGCUUUUGACCUAUUGUUCUCUCGAAUAACUCAUCUUCGUCAAAUUCCUCAUCCUUAUAGUCCAGUAUCUUCACUUUUCUUCCAUACCCUUCCUGCAUCUUCAUAACGGAAUUCUAUUACCAAUGUACGUCUCACUAUUCUCCUUUGUCUGCGUACAAUACAAUCCCCAGCUUUCAUACGGAUAAAAUACGUGUGAGGUGUGGCAUGUAUGGUGGAAAUGAGGAUUAUAAUCAACAUAAAAGAAAUAUCCUAUUAUAGCCUAACCAUGGAUGCUGAAUGAGCAUGAAACAGGAAGAAUGUCUAAUGCA
Molecule: long non-coding RNA, 895 nt
Organism: Daucus carota subsp. sativus
Lineage: Eukaryota; Viridiplantae; Streptophyta; Magnoliopsida; Apiales; Apiaceae
Exons: 2
Source: RefSeq, a predicted model, not a curated record